Molecule: non-coding RNA, 329 nt
Organism: Pelobates cultripes (western spadefoot toad)
Lineage: Eukaryota; Metazoa; Chordata; Amphibia; Anura; Pelobatidae
Source: the annotation of a GenBank genome assembly
CCUAAACACAUACAGCCACGCCCCUAAACACAUACAGCCAAUCACUAGCACCAUCCCCACACUCAUACAUGUGCCCUUGUACGUUUAGCUGCGGUGACUCUCCAGGGCCUAAAGAUGCACAUUUAAUAAUAAAAGGUGUGCAGUGAUAUAAUACAACUAUCUACCUCUAUGUCUGUCUGUCUUUCUAUCUACCUCUCUAUCUAUCUGUCUGUCUAUAUACCUCUCUGUCUGUCUAUCUGCUCAGUGGAUAUCAUACUAUAUGUUGAUUAGCUUAUAUCAAUUCAUCCCUGUGCUCUAAGCUUAUAUUAAUAUAAUAUAUUAUAUAGGAG